RNAcentral lists this ribosomal RNA (253 nucleotides) under uncultured bacterium. RNAcentral's name for it is "partial 16S ribosomal RNA". It matches the Rfam family "Bacterial small subunit ribosomal RNA", at positions 524 to 776 of the family's 1533-position model. The record is from RNAcentral.
UACGUAGGGUGCAAGCGUUGUCCGGAAUUAUUGGGCGUAAAGAGCUCGUAGGCGGUUUGUCGCGUCUGCUGUGAAAACCCGAGGCUCAACCUCGGGCCUGCAGUGGGUACGGGCAGACUAGAGUGCGGUAGGGGAGAUUGGAAUUCCUGGUGUAGCGGUGAAAUGCGCAGAUAUCAGGAGGAACACCGGUGGCGAAGGCGCCACUCUGGGCCGAAACUGACGCUGAGGAGCGAAAGCGUGGGUAGCAAACAGG